This 148-nucleotide non-coding RNA is filed under the name Chlorocebus sabaeus (green monkey). The record is from Rfam by way of RNAcentral. Lineage: Eukaryota; Metazoa; Chordata; Mammalia; Primates; Cercopithecidae.
GCUGGGUGUGGUGGUGCACGCCUGUAGUCCCAGCUACUCAGGAGGCUGAGGCAGGAGAAUUGCUUGAACCCAGGAGGUGGAGGUUGCAGUGAGCCAAAAUUGCACCACUGCACUCCAGCCUGGGUGACAGAGCAAGACUCUCUCUCAG